Molecule: ribosomal RNA, 377 nt
Filed under: uncultured bacterium
Lineage: Bacteria
Description: bacterial SSU rRNA
Rfam family: Bacterial small subunit ribosomal RNA
Source: RNAcentral
AUACGUAGGGGGCAAGCGUUGUCCGGAAUCAUUGGGCGUAAAGCGCGUGUAGGCGGCCAUCCAAGUCCGAUGUGAAAGCUCGGGGCUCAACCCCGAGUCUGCAUUGGAAACUGGUUGGCUUGAGUCCGGAAGAGGAGACUGGAAUUCCUGGUGUAGCGGUGAAAUGCGCAGAUAUCAGGAAGAACACCGGUGGCGAAGGCGGGUCUCUGGGACGGUACUGACGCUGAGACGCGAAAGCGUGGGGAGCAAACAGGAUUAGAUACCCUGGUAGUCCACGCCGUAAACGAUGGGCACUAGGUGUGGGAGGUGUCGACUCCUUCCGUGCCGAAGCUAACGCAUUAAGUGCCCCGCCUGGGGAGUACGGCCGCAAGGCUAAA